GACGAACGUUGGCGGCGUGCUUAAUACAUGCAAGUCCACUGAAGCAGUGGUAGCAAUAUCGCUUUGGAGGUGGCGCACGGGUGAGUAACACGUAGGUAAUCUGCCUUCAGGUCUGGCAUAACUCCGGGAAACCGGGGCUAAUAGCAGAUGAUGCAGCGGCUCGACAUCGAGACAGUUGUUAAAGCUAUGGCGCCUGAAGAUGAGCCUGCGUCUGAUUAGCUAGUUGGCGGGGUAACGGCCCACCAAGGCAACGAUCAGUAGCUGGUCUGAGAGGAUGAUCAGCCAAACUGGAACUGAGACAGGGUCCAGACUCCUACGGGAGGCAGCAGUAAGGAAUAUUGCUCAAUGGGAGAAAUCCUGAAGCAGCAACGCCGCGUGAGGGACGAAGGGCUUUAGCUUGUAAACCUCUGUAGAGAGAGAAAAAAAUCCCAAUCUUUGGGACAUGAUGGUAACUCAAAAGUAAGCCCCGGCUAACUACGUG
This 481-nucleotide ribosomal RNA is filed under the name uncultured bacterium. RNAcentral's name for it is "partial 16S ribosomal RNA". It matches the Rfam family "Bacterial small subunit ribosomal RNA", at positions 28 to 507 of the family's 1533-position model. The record is from RNAcentral.